UUUGAAGUUUGGAGUAACUCGAAAAAUGAUUAAUGCAAAUAGACGUAAUGCGCAAAUACGUAGAACGGUCAUAAUCGCGAGUAACCAAAAAAACACCCAGUCUGA
Molecule: non-coding RNA, 105 nt
Organism: Plutella xylostella (diamondback moth)
Lineage: Eukaryota; Metazoa; Arthropoda; Insecta; Lepidoptera; Plutellidae
Source: RefSeq, a predicted model, not a curated record